GCUUAGGAGUUAACCAAGACAGUAACCACAUCCCACUGUCCGCCAGAGCACUACAAGUGAAAAACUUAAAACUCAAAGGACUUGACGGUACUCCACACCACACUAGAGGAGCCUGUCCUAUAAUCGAUAACCCACGUUUAACCUCACCUGCCCUUGCACAACCCAGCCUAUAUACCGCCGUCCACAGCCCGCCUUACAAAAGCACCAACAGCGCGCCAACCAGUCACCACUAAGACGUCAGGUCAAGGUGUAGCUAACGAGCAGGAAGAGAUGGGCUACAUUUUCUUAACCACAGAAAACCACCAGAAAUACCAUGAAACAGGUACACAAAGGAGGAUUUAGCAGUAAGCCAUGCAAGACAAGCCUGACUGAACAGUGCCCUGGAAUGCGU
Molecule: ribosomal RNA, 391 nt
Filed under: Hemidactylus granchii
Lineage: Eukaryota; Metazoa; Chordata; Lepidosauria; Squamata; Gekkonidae
Description: partial 12S ribosomal RNA
Rfam family: Bacterial small subunit ribosomal RNA
Source: RNAcentral